GAGUUUGAUCGUGGCUCAGGAUGAACGCUGGCGGCGUGCCUAACACAUGCAAGUCGAACGGGAACCCUUGGAUUCGUCUGGGGGGGAGAGUGGCAAACGGGUGAGUAACACGUUGGUGACCUGCCCCAAAGAGGGGAAUAACCACUGGAAACGGUGGCUAAUACCCCAUGUGGUCUGUCGGUCGGACGGCAGAUUAAAGCGCCCCAUUAGGGGUUGCGCUUUGGGAGGGGCCUGCGGCCCAUCAGGUAGUUGGUAGGGUAAUGGCCUACCAAGCCGAUGACGGGUAGGGGGCGUGAGAGCGUGAUCCCCCACACUGGCACUGAGACACGGGCCAGACUCCUACGGGAGGCAGCAGUGAGGAAUAUUGCCCAAUGGACGCAAGUCUGAGGCAGCAACGCCGCGUGGGUGAUGAAGGCCUUCGGGUUGUAAAACCCUUUUCUGGGGGACGAGAAGGACGGUACCUCAGGAAUAAGUACACGGCUAACUACGUG
This 491-nucleotide ribosomal RNA is filed under the name uncultured microorganism. Its description in RNAcentral is "bacterial SSU rRNA". It matches the Rfam family "Bacterial small subunit ribosomal RNA", at positions 9 to 507 of the family's 1533-position model. The record is from RNAcentral.